This 335-nucleotide unclassified non-coding RNA is filed under the name uncultured fungus. Its description in RNAcentral is "sequence contains ITS1". The stretch from base 1 to 107 matches the Rfam family "5.8S ribosomal RNA", at positions 50 to 154 of the family's 154-position model. Lineage: Eukaryota; Fungi. The record is from RNAcentral.
GAAAUGCGAUACUUGGUGUGAAUUGCAGAAUCCCGUGAACCAUCGAGUCUUUGAACGCAAGUUGCGCCCCAAGCCUUCUGGCCGAGGGCACGUCUGCCUGGGUGUCACAAAUCGUCGUCCCCCCAUCCUCUCGAGGAUACGGGACGGAAGUUGGUCUCCCGUGUGUUACCGCAUGCGGUUGGCCAAAAUCUGAGCAAAGGACGCCAGGAGCGUCUCGACAUGCGGUGGUGAAUUCAAUUCUCGUCAGAUUGUCAGCCGCUCCUGUCCGGAAGCUCUCGAUGACCCAAAGUCCUCAACGCGACCCCAGGUCAGGCGGGAUCACCCGCUGAGUUUAA